GAUAGGUAGGAGCCAUAGAAGUCGGAACGCUAGUUUCGACGGAGGCGUUGGUGGGAUACUACCCUUGCAUUAUGACCACUCUAACCCGCAGCACUGAACGUGCUGGGAGACAGUGUCAGGUGGGCAGUUUGACUGGGGCGGUCGCCUCCUAAAAGGUAACGGAGGCGCCCAAAGGUUCCCUCAGAAUGGUUGGAAAUCAUUCGCAGAGUGUAAAGG
RNAcentral lists this ribosomal RNA (216 nucleotides) under Lactiplantibacillus plantarum. RNAcentral describes it as "Lactobacillus plantarum partial 23S ribosomal RNA". It matches the Rfam family "Bacterial large subunit ribosomal RNA", at positions 2142 to 2357 of the family's 2925-position model. Lineage: Bacteria; Bacillati; Bacillota; Bacilli; Lactobacillales; Lactobacillaceae. The record is from RNAcentral.